RNAcentral lists this ribosomal RNA (550 nucleotides) under uncultured Glomus. RNAcentral's name for it is "SSU rRNA". It matches the Rfam family "Eukaryotic small subunit ribosomal RNA", at positions 548 to 1098 of the family's 1831-position model. Lineage: Eukaryota; Fungi; Glomeromycota; Glomeromycetes; Glomerales; Glomeraceae. The record is from RNAcentral.
UUGGAGGGCAAGUCUGGUGCCAGCAGCCGCGGUAAUUCCAGCUCCAACGGCGUAUAUUAAAGUUGCUGCAGUUAAAAAGCUCGUAGUUGAAUUCCGGGAUCAAUAUUUCGGUCAUGCCGUUGGUAUGCACUGUUAUCAUUGAUUUCUCACCUUCUAAAGAACCGUAACACCAUUAAUUUGGUGUUACGGGGAAUUAGGACUGUUACCUUGAAAAAAUUAGGGUGUUUAAAGCAGGCUCACGCUUGAAUACAUUAGCAUGGAAUAAUGAAAUAGGACAUCCGAUUCUAUUUUGUUGGUUUCUAGGAUCGAUGUAAUGAUUAAUAGGGAUAGUUGGGGGCAUUAGUAUUCAAUUGUCAGAGGUGAAAUUCUUGGAUUUAUUGAAGACUAACUACUGCGAAAGCAUUUGCCAAGGAUGUUUUCAUUAAUCAAGAACGAAAGUUAGGGGAUCGAAGACGAUCAGAUACCGUCGUAGUCUUAACCAUAAACUAUGCCGACUAGGGAUCGGAUGAUGUUAAUUUUUUAAUGACUCAUUCGGCGCCUUACGGGAAAC